RNAcentral lists this ribosomal RNA (491 nucleotides) under uncultured bacterium. RNAcentral describes it as "partial 16S ribosomal RNA". It matches the Rfam family "Bacterial small subunit ribosomal RNA", at positions 28 to 507 of the family's 1533-position model. The record is from RNAcentral.
GAUGAACGCUAGCGAUAGGCUUAACACAUGCAAGUCGAGGGGUAACGUGUUGGAAGCUUGCUUCCGAUGACGACGACCGGCGGAUGGGUGCGUAACGCGUAUGCAACUUGCCUCACAGUGGAGAAUAACCCGGAGAAAUCCGGACUAAUGUUCCAUACACUCUUAAGUACUCCUGUACAUGAGAGGAAAGAUUUAUCGCUGUGAGAUAGGCAUGCGUCCUAUUAGGUAGUUGGUGAGGUAACGGCUCACCAAGCCGACGAUAGGUAGGGGUGCUGAGAGGCAGAUCCCCCACAUUGGGACUGAGACACGGCCCAAACUCCUACGGGAGGCAGCAGUGAGGAAUAUUGGUCAAUGGAGGAAACUCUGAACCAGCCAAGUCGCGUGAAGGAAGAAUGUCCUAAGGAUUGUAAACUUCUUUAGCGAGCGAGUAAGGACUUCCACGUGAUGGGAGUUUGAAAGUAGCUCGAGAAUAAGUAGCGGCUAACUCCGUG